CUAUUUCUUUGGUAUCUUGUAUCUUGGUUGUGGGGGGUGGAAAUUGCUAGCUAAAAAAUGGAAGAAAGAAAACAAAAUAAUCCUGUGUUCAGUACUUAUAACUUUAGUGGUGCAACAAAGCAACUUCCAAACACUGCUCCAGCAUCCCCACCUUCCCCGCAAGAGGCAAGGAACAGCUUCAAGUCUUCCUUUCUUGUUCACUCCUAUGACUCUGGAGGAGACAGCCCAACCAAGAGCCAUGGAAGGAUGUGGAGGAUGCGGAGGAUGCCCUGACUGCGCGGACCAGUAACGGCUGGGGCAACCCGAUUUCCC
RNAcentral lists this long non-coding RNA (312 nucleotides) under Homo sapiens (human). Its description in RNAcentral is "HSALNT0191649". The record is from RNAcentral. Lineage: Eukaryota; Metazoa; Chordata; Mammalia; Primates; Hominidae.